UAAGGAAUAUUGGUCAAUGGAGGCAACUCUGAACCAGCCAUGCCGCGUGAAGGAUGAAUGCCCUCUGGGUUGUAAACUUCUUUUAUUUGGGACGAAACCCUCGGAUUCUUCUGAGAUUGACGGUACCAGAUGAAUAAGCACCGGCUAACUCCGUGCCAGCAGCCGCGGUAAUACGGAGGGUGCAAGCGUUAUCCGGAUUCACUGGGUUUAAAGGGUGCGUAGGUGGGCUUGUAAGUCAGUGGUGAAAUCUCCGUGCUUAACAUGGAAACUGCCAUUGAUACUAUAGGUCUUGAAUUUUCCGGAGGUGAGCGGAAUAUGUCAUGUAGCGGUGAAAUGCUUAGAUAUGACAUAGAACACCGAUUGCGAAGGCAGCUCGCUACAGGGACAUUGACACUGAGGCACGAAAGCGUGGGGAUCAAACAGGAUUAGAUACCCUGGUAGUCCACGCCCUAAACGAUGGAUACUCGACAUUUGCGAUACACAGUAAGUGU
Molecule: ribosomal RNA, 491 nt
Filed under: uncultured bacterium
Lineage: Bacteria
Description: bacterial SSU rRNA
Rfam family: Bacterial small subunit ribosomal RNA
Source: RNAcentral